CGAGAUCAUCAAGUUUCCCUUAAAACCCUGUUCCAGCAAAAGUAAGUAACCGGUUUCAGAUGCAUUUUGAUGAGGCUGCGCUGCAGGCAGGAUGCGGCUAUUUUAAAAGGCCUGAUGGAGGCUGGGCGGUGUUCUUCAUAAACGCCAAUCACAUGGCUCCCUGUUCUCGUGGAGUGUCGGGAUGGUUUGGAAACCCUGCGAGUACUUACGGCGAAUGACCACACCGGGACAGCUUGUCAGGAGGCAGGAGUGACAUCACCUGUCAGUUUCUCUGGCUCAGUUAGCCCUGCCCCAAAGGCCCUGCCAGUGCCCUGCAGCACUUUCCAGAAGGGCAGAGGGGCCUUGGAGGGGGAAGUUCCUUUGGGGGUCUGUAACCGUGCCUCAGCAGGGGUCUGGAAGGCCUCCCCACUCAUCACAGAAGCUUCCUAGACACCCAUGGGGAUGUGAAAAUGUGAUAGUGGCUGUGUCUCAGUUGGUAGAGUACUUGCCUAGAAUGCAUGAGGCCCUGGGUUCAAAUCCUGACCUGGCAGAGAACAAACCAUUCACCAACCAACCAACCAACCAACCAGUCACACAAACCCUCUUUGAACAAGAGCAAGACAGCAGAAGGAAGGGUGUAAAAGUUAAGUCUG
RNAcentral lists this long non-coding RNA (632 nucleotides) under Mus pahari (shrew mouse). RNAcentral's name for it is "lncRNA (MGP_PahariEiJ_G0005598.1)". The record is from RNAcentral. Lineage: Eukaryota; Metazoa; Chordata; Mammalia; Rodentia; Muridae.